GAUGAACGCCGGCGGUGUGCCUAAUACAUGCAAGUCGAACGCGUUGGCCCAAUUAAUUGAUGGUGCUUGCACCUGAUUGAUUUUGGUCGCCAACGAGUGGCGGACGGGUGAGUAACACGUAGGUAACCUGCCCAGAAGCGGGGGACAACAUUUGGAAACAGAUGCUAAUACCGCUUAACAACGUUGUUCGCAUGAACAACGCUUAAAAGAUGGCUUCUCGCUAUCACUUCUGGAUGGACCUGCGGUGCAUUAGCUUGUUGGUGGGGUAACGGCCUACCAAGGCGAUGAUGCAUAGCCGAGUUGAGAGACUGAUCGGCCACAAUGGGACUGAGACACGGCCCAUACUCCUACGGGAGGCAGCAGUAGGGAAUCUACCACAAUGGGCGCAAGCCUGAUGGAGCAACACCGCGUGAGUGAAGAAGGGUUUCGGCUCGUAAAGCUCUGUUGUUAAAGAAGAACACGUAUGAGAGUAACUGUUCAUACGUUGACGGUAUUUAACCAGAAAGUCACGGCUAACUACGUGCCAGCAGCCGCGGUAAUACGUAGGUGGCAAGCGUUAUCCGGAUUUAUUGGGCGUAAAGAGAGUGCAGGCGGUUUUCUAAGUCUGAUGUGAAAGCCUUCGGCUUAACCGGAGAAGUGCAUCGGAAACUGGAUAACUUGAGUGCAGAAGAGGGUAGUGGAACUCCAUGUGUAGCGGUGGAAUGCGUAGAUAUAUGGAAGAACACCAGUGGCGAAGGCGGCUACCUGGUCUGCAACUGACGCUGAGACUCGAAAGCAUGGGUAGCGAACAGGAUUAGAUACCCUGGUAGUCCAUGCCGUAAACGAUGAGUGCUAGGUGUUGGAGGGUUUCCGCCCUUCAGUGCCGGAGCUAACGCAUUAAGCACUCCGCCUGGGGAGUACGACCGCAAGGUUGAAACUCAAAGGAAUUGACGGGGGCCCGCACAAGCGGUGGAGCAUGUGGUUUAAUUCGAAGCUAUGCGAAGAACCUUACCAGGUCUUGACAUCUUGCGCCAACCCUAGAGAUAGGGCGUUUCCUUCGGGAACGCAAUGACAGGUGGUGCAUGGUCGUCGUCAGCUCGUGUCGUGAGAUGUUGGGUUAAGUCCCGCAACGAGCGCAACCCUUGUUACUAGUUGCCAGCAUUAAGUUGGGCACUCUAGUGAGACUGCCGGUGACAAACCGGAGGAAGGUGGGGACGACGUCAGAUCAUCAUGCCCCUUAUGACCUGGGCUACACACGUGCUACAAUGGACGGUACAACGAGUCGCGAACUCGCGAGGGCAAGCAAAUCUCUUAAAACCGUUCUCAGUUCGGACUGCAGGCUGCAACUCGCCUGCACGAAGUCGGAAUCGCUAGUAAUCGCGGAUCAGCAUGCCGCGGUGAAUACGUUCCCGGGCCUUGUACACACCGCCCGUCACACCAUGAGAGUUUGUAACACCCAAAGUCGGUGGGGUAACCUUUUAGGAGCCAGCCGCCUAAGGUGGGACGGAUGAUUAGGGUG
This 1498-nucleotide ribosomal RNA is filed under the name Limosilactobacillus fermentum. RNAcentral's name for it is "bacterial SSU rRNA". It matches the Rfam family "Bacterial small subunit ribosomal RNA". The record is from RNAcentral. Lineage: Bacteria; Bacillati; Bacillota; Bacilli; Lactobacillales; Lactobacillaceae.